This is a long non-coding RNA of Pezoporus occidentalis (night parrot), 2543 nucleotides long. RefSeq lists it as uncharacterized. NCBI's taxonomy places the organism in Eukaryota, Metazoa, Chordata, Aves, Psittaciformes, Psittacidae. The record is from RefSeq and is a predicted model, not a curated record. The transcript is spliced from 2 exons.
GAGCCUUGGCUGACAUGGUAUAGUUGAGAGUCCCUGCCUGUGGCGGAGAGGUUAGUACUAUAUGAUCUUAAGGUCCUUUCCAAUCCAAACCAUUCUAUGAUUCUAUAUACUGUACUAUACUGAUUCAUCGGAAUUGUACUACCUUUCAAGCACUUGUAAAUAACAGCCAAUGCUGUAUUGAAUUAGAAGUAUUUAAUUAGUUUAAUCUUGUCUGGUUUUGCAGCCUUAAAACCUCUUGAAUUUCUUUUUUUCAGAGCUCUUUUAAAUCUUUCUACAUCUUCCCUGUAAAAACUAAUCUCACUGUCCCUAGGAUUCAGCCUCCUGUAUUAGAAAAGUCUCCUAUCACUUAGCUUCAAAAGCAACCCUAAACUGCACUGACCUAUUUUACCACUGUAUCAUUGUCAGAGAGGAGAUUUGCCAGAUGUCUUAGAUGUUUCAUUAUUCCCUCAAGGAACCUGACCUGUCCCAUAAUAAAACUGAGGUUGCACAGGAAGGAUCAAAUUGAGUUUUCAGGGGCAAUGUAUUUACUGGGCAAAUUCAAACAGAGCUGGAAAUUAACUUGUAUUCAUACAAGUUAAUUAACUUGUAUUCAUACUGGUGGUGCAGCUGGGGUCAGAAUGUGGAUAAAGGUCUGUCUGCUCUCAAACUAAAAGUUUUGCCAGCUGGUUACUAAACUAUAUGCUAAACUGGUCCCCUGUAUAUUAAGCUCCUAUGCUCUUAAAUUCCUUUUGGCUCAGGUAGGCUCCAGGUACGUAUUUGUGCAUGGAGAUGUUCAUGACAUCUCUAGUGCAUUUGCUGAGCAAAACCUUGUUAUUUAAACACAGUGUCAGUUCUGCUCCUCCAGAGGCAAAAUUCCAACCAUGAGAGAACAUAAUCAUCCCUGUGCCCCUUGCAAGCCACCACUGCAACCUGAUCACUCCUGUUGCUCUGCUUUGCUGUGCUUGCUGACUCUACACGUAAAGCUAGGAUACAAAGACGUUUCAGGUUAGCAAAACAUAACUGCUCUGUUGUCAUUCCUCAGUUCAACUUCAAAAAAAGAAUGAUGUGUACAGAAAGAGGAGAAAGUGCAUUUUUCAUCCCUCCUACCAUCUGUAAGCUUCUAAGGGUAUGCAACUUUUUUUGCUGAUCUGAGUUAAUAAGAGCAGAUACACAGAUAAGGUAAGUGACAGGACAGGCUUGAAGGCAGAAUAACGUGAUCUUUCUCCAAAAUGCCAUCUCUAGUGAAGCUUUUAGCAUAGGGCCUGACAACAAAGGGAAGCUUACCCUGAUUAUUCUUCUGUCAUACAAGCUAUUAAUCUGACACAAAAUAUAAUUUACCUAUCUAAUCUAAAUAAAGAUCAGUUCAUAGAUAAAAGCACAUAUUUAGGCAUGCUAGCAGUAAACAAUUUACAAGGUGUUAACUAGAUUUCCAGGACUGGAAAUAAAUGUACUCAGAUUGGAGUUAGUAAAUCCAGAGCCCAAAUGGAACAAACAGAAACUGUUAUCUCUUAACUAUUCCUUAUGGAAAACUUGGGUGUAUCUUAAAUUGGCAUGUCAGUGCUGAAAAGAAGAAUCCAUUGACUUGUGACAGCAAUGAAUGCAUAGUCCAUAGUCAUAAGGUCUGGAAAAUCUGUCCACUGCUUGAGGGGAAAGGAGACAGUGAAAUCACAUACACUGUGAAGAUCCAUACAAAUUAGAUAAGCAAAUUCUUAUUUUUAGCAUUUGCCCAACAGCAAAGACAAAGGAAGAGCACAUAAACAACUCAGAAGGGAACCAGUAACCUCAGCUAUUCCCCGUACACUGAAACAGUCAAGUUCCAGAUGCAGGGUAUUCUCCUAUAACUGAAGAACAUGUAACUCAUAUAACUGAAGAAAAAUUGUAAUAGGUAAUCAAAUAGGGAAGACAAAGCACAUAUUUCUUGCCACUCCAGGAGUGAUCUAGCAAAAUGCCAAGUAUCUUUUGCUCAAACUGAGGGAUAGAGCAAAUCAAAGACUUCAUUUGCCUGGAUUUUGCCUGGAUUUAUGAGAGUAUUUUAGUAUUUUAGUAUUUUAGUGUCAGAGUAUUUGAGGCACUUAACUCUCAGUGAAGUCAGAUGGGUUUUAGGAAGAUGAAUUUCUGAGGAUCCAGGCCUUUGGUACCUAAAAUAAGACUUAGGCUUAAUUUGAAAGCCAGCUCCAAAACAGUGAUUUUGAAUUUUUUUAACCAUCUGGAGAUGCCUGACAUUUUUAGUUAUAAUUUUCCUUGCUUUUCUGAUAGAGUCAUAAAGAUAGAAGAACUCUGUAGCAUAGAGAAUAUGGAAAUCAGUCUUCAGCUCUUUAACUCUGACAUAUUUUAAGCAAAAAGGAUGAAUAACACUCAUUUCCUGAGCAACUGCCUUUACCAGAAAAGGAGAUACCACCAAUACAUUUCCUCUGAAGGAACCUCUCAAGAUAAAAAAGGAAGGCCUACUCUGCUCUGUGAGUGAAUGGGCAAAAGUGGCAUCAUUUGGAAGAGAAAUCAAAGCCGUAGAAUCUGAAUGGACAGAGAGCCUCCUGAGUAUAGAGAAUAAAAUUUCUUGCAACUCA